UACAAUAUUUUGACUCUUUGUCUUAUUUGAAUUUUUUUUGCGUUUAAUAUUUUUAUUCUUACUCCAUGAUAAAACAUAAAUAGUAUUUUAUGCGUGACUAAUUUUUUUAAGUUUUUUUAAUAACUUUUUCAAAUAAGAAGAAUGGUUAAACGUUGGACACGGAAAAAC
Molecule: microRNA precursor, 168 nt
Filed under: Oryza brachyantha (malo sina)
Lineage: Eukaryota; Viridiplantae; Streptophyta; Magnoliopsida; Poales; Poaceae
Description: MIR812 microRNA precursor family
Rfam family: MIR812 microRNA precursor family
Source: Rfam by way of RNAcentral